UACGGAGGGUGCAAGCGUUAUCCGGAUUUACUGGGUUGAAAGGGUGCGUAGGCGGGCCUGUAAGUCAGUGGUGAAAUCUUCCCGCUUAACGGGAAAACUGCCAUUGAUACUAUAGGUCUUGAAUUCAGUUGAGGUGGGCGGAAUGUGUCGUGUAGCGGUGAAAUGCUUAGAUAUGACACAGAACACCGAUUGCGAAGGCAGCUCGCUAAACUGACAUUGACGCUGAGGCACGAAAGCGUGGGGAUCAAACAGG
RNAcentral lists this ribosomal RNA (253 nucleotides) under uncultured bacterium. RNAcentral's name for it is "partial 16S ribosomal RNA". It matches the Rfam family "Bacterial small subunit ribosomal RNA", at positions 524 to 776 of the family's 1533-position model. The record is from RNAcentral.